GAUGAACGCUGGCGGCGUGCCUAAUACAUGCAAGUCGAGCGAAUGGAUUAAGAGCUUGCUCUUAUGAAGUUAGCGGCGGACGGGUGAGUAACACGUGGGUAACCUGCCCAUAAGACUGGGAUAACUCCGGGAAACCGGGGCUAAUACCGGAUAACAUUUUGAACCGCAUGGUUCGAAAUUGAAAGGCGGCUUCGGCUGUCGCUUAUGGAUGGACCCGCGUCGCAUUAGCUAGUUGGUGAGGUAACGGCUCACCAAGGCAACGAUGCGUAGCCGACCUGAGAGGGUGAUGGGCCAAACUGGGAGUGAGACACGGCCCAGACUCCUACGGGAGGCAGCAGUAGGGAAUCUUCCGCAAUGGACGAAAGUCUGACGGAGCAACGCCGCGUGAGUGAUGAAGGCUUUCGGGUCGUAAAACUCUGUUGUUAGGGAAGAACAAGUGCUAGUUGAAUAAGCUGGCACCUUGACGGUACCUAACCAGAAAGCCACGGCUAACUACGUGCCAGCAGCCGCCGUAA
Molecule: ribosomal RNA, 515 nt
Filed under: uncultured bacterium
Lineage: Bacteria
Description: partial 16S ribosomal RNA
Rfam family: Bacterial small subunit ribosomal RNA
Source: RNAcentral